This 59-nucleotide non-coding RNA is filed under the name unclassified sequences. Its description in RNAcentral is "Transposase-1 RNA". It matches the Rfam family "Transposase-1 RNA". From Rfam's summary of the family: Lactobacillales (Firmicutes). Environment (Human Microbiome Project, vagina) The record is from Rfam by way of RNAcentral.
CGUUCAGAGAUUGUCUCUGUCGUUACCCACAUCAGUGGAUACGGGAAAGCAAUCGUAGA